RNAcentral lists this ribosomal RNA (253 nucleotides) under uncultured bacterium. Its description in RNAcentral is "partial 16S ribosomal RNA". It matches the Rfam family "Bacterial small subunit ribosomal RNA", at positions 524 to 776 of the family's 1533-position model. The record is from RNAcentral.
UACGUAGGGGGCAAGCGUUGUCCGGAUUUAUUGGGCGUAAAGAGCUCGUAGGCGGCUUGUCACGUCGGAUGUGAAAGCCCGGGGCUUAACCCCGGGUCUGCAUUCGAUACGGGCUAGCUAGAGUGUGGUAGGGGAGAUCGGAAUUCCUGGUGUAGCGGUGAAAUGCGCAGAUAUCAGGAGGAACACCGGUGGCGAAGGCGGAUCUCUGGGCCAUUACUGUCGCUGAGGAGCGAAAGCGUGGGGAGCGAACAGG